UAUGUUUUACAGUGCUUAUCCAGUGACCUUUGGGGUAUCACAAUAGCAAUGGCCAAAACAGUUUACCAAAUUGCAGUUAGAUUUCUUCUCCAACUAACUGAUCAACUGGUAAAAUGUUUUAGCAGAUUGCUCAAGUGAAAUGUUGUUAGUAUGAAGUGAGUGCUGUGAAAUCAAAAGUAAUACUUACCAUCCAGAUCCAGUUAGUUGAUAUCUUUGUCAUUUGUUUCAAACACAAAAAUGACUUACUAUAGUAUGAGUCACUGAAUAAGAAGGUCUAAUUUUGACAUGGAAACUUCUAUCAUAAAUAGAUUUUAUAAAUAAAUAGUUCAAAC
RNAcentral lists this long non-coding RNA (332 nucleotides) under Mytilus galloprovincialis (Mediterranean mussel). The record is from RNAcentral. Lineage: Eukaryota; Metazoa; Mollusca; Bivalvia; Mytilida; Mytilidae.